Molecule: small RNA, 100 nt
Filed under: Anaerocolumna xylanovorans
Lineage: Bacteria; Bacillati; Bacillota; Clostridia; Lachnospirales; Lachnospiraceae
Also listed under: 1 other name
Description: Guanidine-I sequence
Rfam family: Guanidine-I riboswitch aptamer
About the family: This family represents a conserved RNA structure found upstream of the ykkC and yxkD genes in Bacillus subtilis and related genes in other bacteria. The function of this family is unclear although it has been suggested that it may function to switch on efflux pumps and detoxification systems in response to harmful environmental molecules. Nelson showed that this riboswitch senses and responds to guanidine and it was renamed Guanidine-I riboswitch.
Source: RNAcentral
GUUUAAGUUUUAUAGGGUUCCGCAAUACGGCAGUAUUGGCCUGGUCCAAGAUAAAACGCGCAGGUAACUGCGUUCACGGAAGGAUAAAAGCCUGGGAGAU